Molecule: ribosomal RNA, 253 nt
Filed under: uncultured bacterium
Lineage: Bacteria
Description: partial 16S ribosomal RNA
Rfam family: Bacterial small subunit ribosomal RNA
Source: RNAcentral
UACGGAGGGUGCAAGCGUUGUUCGGAAUUACUGGGCGUAAAGCGCGUGUAGGCGGUCGAGCAAGUCAGAUGUGAAAGCCUUCCGCUUAACGGAAGAAGUGCAUUUGAAACUACUCGGCUGGAGUACGGGAGAGGAGAGUGGAAUUCCCGGUGUAGAGGUGAAAUUCGUAGAUAUCGGGAGGAACACCAGUGGCGAAAGCGGCUCUCUGGUCCGAUACUGACGCUGAUACGCGAAAGCGUGGGGAGCAAACAGG